UGAGAGGGGUUGCUUGUGUCUUUCCUCUUCCUGUCUCUAUUCAGCCGCUACCUUCUAAUUUUCCUAAGGAUCUCUACUCGCAGUUCCAUGUGCUAGGGUUUUCUCCUUUGCUUUUUUUUUUUAAAUCACUUUGUUUUUCUUUUUCAGGAUAACUCCAGCAGCCCCAAGAUUUAUCUUCUCCUCUUUUCUAGGCAGAUGUAUCUGGUACAAGUAGAGUUGGGCUAAAAUUGAUAUGCACUGAAUGUUGAUUGGACACCUUCCUGGUAUUGC
This 270-nucleotide long non-coding RNA is filed under the name Gossypium raimondii (Peruvian cotton). RNAcentral describes it as "long non-coding RNA (GRAI_LNC009246)". The record is from RNAcentral. Lineage: Eukaryota; Viridiplantae; Streptophyta; Magnoliopsida; Malvales; Malvaceae.